UGUGGAGACUAAAGUCAAAGGUUUGAUCCCUAAUCAGGGCAGACAGCUUCACUGUUGGGUGACUGAAAGCACUUUAUCAUUAUGCUUCCUCAAGAUCGAGGGGCUUCAGGACAGUGAACAUAUUCUCACUCUACCACUCUAUUGCCCAGGCUGGAGUACAGUGGCAUGAUCUCAGCACUGCAACCUCUGCCUCCCGGGUUUAAGCAAUUCUCCUGCCUCAGCCUCGCAAGCAGCUAGGUGGGGCUACAGGCUGGAGCACAAUGGCGCGAUCUUGGUUCACUGCAGCCUCCAUCUCCUGGGUUCAAGGGAUUCUCCUGGCUCAGCCUCCCGAGUAGUUGGAAUUACAGCCCCAGAUUGAGGAGAUCACAUCCCAACCAGGGCCUGCACACAGGGCUUCAAGGAAGUGACCAGCAGCAAAGUGACCGAGGUGCACAGCGAAGCCAGAAUCAAUGCAGAAGAUUGGGAGACAUCUACUUUCAGCUUCCAAGUAACCACCUUAGUGGGGGUGAAAGAGAGAAACAUCUGCUUUCUCCCUAUGUCCUAGAUAAAGGGGAGACGGGUGCUAGUUCAUAGGUUACAUUAAGUUUUCUUCUUAAAGAGGUGUUUGCAUUGUUUUGAAAUGUUUGAAAACUCUCUAAAUUGAAUGAAUUCAUAAGUUCCUUCCUGCUAUAAGUGGCCUAUUUCAGCCCUAAUCCUCCUGGCCUUGGGAAGUUUGGCAGCACCAAUCACUUCUUCUCUCCAGCUUCUAACCGGUUGGAGAAACGUGCACAAGGAACCUGAAGAUGAUAAAAGGACAGUGCCAGCUUUACUACCAGUAAAGCUGAAUGGGGAAGAAAAUAAAUUCCCACCCCCUUGGAAAGGCCUGGUUGCCCUAUAGCCAUAUCAAUAAGUGGCACUCAGAACCAGUUUGGAACCUGGUCAAGUCAGCAACAACAAUUUGCUUCGGUGAAGAGCUUUUACAAGUUGUUUACAAUCAGCAUUAGCUGCUUACUUCUGAAAGCCAGUCAAUCACAGACUCACCUCAAUAAAUACACUAUAGUGACAACCAAUUAGCAAUAGCCUCAUCUGUGUACCCACACCUCUGCAGAUGAUGUUGAAGCUCUUAAGCCUCUGCAACUUCGCCAAUCACUGAACUUCACACUUCCGUGAGAUUCUAUAUAAAUUAGCGGUCUGCUCCAAGAGACUGUACUUCCUUUACUAUGCUUAACAAUCCAUUCAAUUUUGUCUUUUUUAUUUUUAGUAUGGGAUGAUAGUCUCAUCAUACUUUGAUACCCUGAACCUCAGAAUCUGCAUGAAUAUAACCUCUCCAACCAAAUCCAGGUAGAGAAGUUUAAUUGGCUAACUAAACUUCAUAUUUUAACUACAUAGAAGAGGCCAAGAGGGCCCUGGCAUCCUCUUAGUGAUAUGAACAGCUGGUAGGGGAAGAGAGAGAAUAAGAGGAAUCCUGGUUUUCACUGUCCAAGGAGUGGGAGGUCCACUGGACUCUCUCUCUCUCUCCAUCUUACCAGCAUGUUAGUUACUUCUCAGGGGAGGGAGGAUGAGGAAGAGGAAAGAUGAGGGGAUGGAGAGAGGAGGUGGAAAUAAUAUUUCAAAAUGGUUUACUAUGGUGUGAAUGUUUGCAUUUCCCCAAAAUUCAUACGUUAAAAUCCUAACCCCAAAGGUAUAAUAUUUAAGAGGUGGGGCCUGUGGGAGGAAAGUACAUUAUGAGGGUGGAGCCUUUGUGAUUGGGAUUAAUGUCCUUAUAGAAGAGACCCCAGAAAGCUAUAUAUCCCCUUCCACAGCGUGAAGACACAGCAAGAAGACAUCAUCUAUGAAGCAGAAAGCCCUUGCCAAAACCCAAAUCUGCAAGUGUCUUGAUCUUGGACUUCUUAGCCUCUAGUUGUGUAAGAAACAAACUUCUGUUGUUUAUAAGCUACCCAGUUCAUGGUACUUUGUUAUAGCAGUCCAUAUGGACAAAGAUAAUAUUCCUUCCAGAGAUUGGAGCCAAAUCUCCUCAUAGAAACAGGAGAAAGAGACAAUAAGGGCUUCCCGUAAACAUUCUUUAUCCUAACAGUUUUGCAAAUUGAUUGGGGAGAGAAGGUGUAAAUACUUAAAGCAAUUGAUAUGGUUUGGCUCUGUCUCCCCACCCAAAUCUCAUCUCAAACUGUAAUUCCCACGUGUUGAAGUUGGGGCCUGGUGGGAAGUGAUUAGAUCAUGGGGGUGGUUUCUAAUUGUUUAGUACCAUCUCCCUAGUGAUGGCUCAUGAGUGAGUUCUCACGAGAUCUGAUGGUUUAAAAGUGUGUGGCACCUCCCACUUUGCACUCUCUCUCCUGUGCCAUGUAAGGCAUGUCUUGCUUCCCCUUUGACUUCCGCCAUGAUUGUAAGUUUCCUGAGGCCUCCCCAGCCAGGUGGAACUGUGAGUCAAUUAGACCUCUUUUCUUUAUAAGUUACCCAGUCUCAGGUAGUUCUGUAUAGUAGUGUGAAAAUGGACUAAUACAGCAAUUAAGAAACACUGAUAGGGCAAAAUAUUCUGAGAAUAAGACUAUUGGUAAUAAUGUGAAGGAUUCUUAGAAAACAUGGAAUUUGAGAUGAUCUUGGAAAGAUGAAUUAAAUUCAUCAAAAAUCACCCGGUGAUUAUGAAGCACCACGGUGUCCAGCAUUGAGUCCUGAGCUAUAUAAACAAGCAGUCACAAUUUCUACCCUCAAGAAGCUCACAGUCUGAGUCUUCUGGUUCUCAAAUCUAGUUAUACUUUAGAAUCACCUGAGAAGCUUUUUUUAAAAAUGCCCAUAAUCCUGAUUUAAUUGGUCUGAGUGAGUCCUGGCCAUCAGUAUCUUUUAAAGCCUCAGGUGUAGGAAAAGAGUUCUUGAAGAGACAAAACAAAAGAUAAUCAUAAAAGAAAAAAAUGUUUAACUUAAUUAAAAUAAGGCUAUUAAAAGACAUCACCAGGAAAGUGAAAAGACAAGCCACAGACUGAUUGAAGAGAUUGACAAUGCAUAUAUCCAACAACUGGAAACAACACAAAUGUCCCUCAAUAGGAGAAUGGAUAAAUAAAUUGUAGUGCAUUGAUACAAGGGGAUACUAGACAACAAUAAAAAUUAUGAACUACUGACACAUGGAACAAGAUAGAUGAAUCUCAUAGGCACUUUAUUGAGAGAAAGAAGACAAAAGAGUACAUACUGAGUAACUCAAUUGUUAAAAUUUUAAGAACAUAGGUAAAACUAAUUUACGGCAGUCGACAGUCAUCUUUUAGUGACUUAACUGGGAAGGGACACAGCAGAAUGUUAUGAAAAACUGUGGAUGUUUGUUUUUUGAAUCUCAACCUGGGGGGCAUGAUACAGAAGGUAUAUACAAGGAUAAUCCUUAGAGAAGAUGGCUGGAGCCAUCAGCAACCGACACACCCAGCCACUGGGGGAAAUGAGCAUCUUAGUCCUGGGAGGGAUAUCUGGGCACAGUCUCAGCAUCCACUACACCCUACACUGCGUGAUCUAAUGUGGAACUCGGGGCUGAGACGUACUGGUCUAAAUCAGUGAUUCUCAAAGGGCGGUCCCUGACAAGCAGCAUCAGCACCAUCUGAGAACUUGUUAGAAAUGCAAAUUAUUGACCCUCUAAUGAAUUGGAAACCCUGGGUUGAGCCUAGCAAUCGGCUUUCGCAAGCCCUCCAGGUGAUUUCAAUACGAACUAACAUUUGAGAACAACUGGUCCAAAGGGGUUUCACUUGAGAUCAAGAGGGGAUUUUCUUUUUCUUUUUCUUUUUCUUUUUUUUUUUUUUUUGAGAAAUGGAAGGAAUCCUGGCAAUGUCACAAAGCAUGUCAAAUAUAACAUGAACAGAGAAUGCAGUUUGGAGAAAAGUGAACGAGAAAACUGUUCAGCAAAUGGGACUAAUUACUAGAUCUUAUUUAAAAUUUUUUUCUCUUAAUCCAAUAGACCAUAUGGAAAUCAUGUAGAUUCUUAAACAGCCUGGCAGAGGAGCAAGGUAAAACACAGGGAAGAGAAUCUCUAUACAGUGAAAAUUCUAAUAGGAGACAUUUGAAAUCAUCUUUGUGAAAAGUAAGGGGGAUAAAAAGUAUGAGUGUUAACAGUAAAAAUGGGAAGGAAAAAAUGACUCUGAGAGACUCCACAAUGAUUUGCAUCAGAAUUUGAAUCUCCAGUGGGGUGAGGAAGCAAAGGUUACUAUAAAGUAUUUUUGUUUUUACAUUAAAAAUAGAGUCAGGGUUUUGCUAUGUUGCCCAGGAUGGUCUCAAAUUCCUAGGCUCAAGUGAUUCUCCCACUUCUGCGUCCCAAAGUGCUGGGAUUACUGGCAUGAGCUACCAUGCCUGGCCACUACAAAGUUUUGAGAUUUUCAUCAUUAGGACAAUAGGAGUCGCCAACACAAAUGGGGAAGUCAGGAAGAGAAUCCAUACUGAAAGGAACAUGAAUUUUGUCUUCUGUUUUGGAAAGUAAGCCUAUUACAUCCAGGUGGAGCUGUUUUAUAAACAGCUAGAAAUGUAGGACAGGCAGAGUGCAGUGGUUUAUGCCUGUAAUCCCAACACCUUGGGAGGCUGAGGCAGGAGGAUGGUUUGAGCCCAGGAGUUCAAGACCAGGCAGGGCAGCAUAUGAAAAAAUGUCUUACAUGUUGACAGAAAUGUGUUUGGUAGAAGUCAAGCAAAAUCAGGCAUAAGAAAGCAUCAUUGAAUGAUGAUAAAAAUGAGGUCCGAAGUGAUCUUAUUGCAUGUUUUGGUCCAUGUAAACUGAAUCCUACCCAUUUCUCCAACAUGUAACACUCCUAUGACUAGUCACCUUUCCACUUAUACAGUAAGCCACUCAGGAAAGUGACUUGGAUCUGUUAGAGUGGAAUCCAGAAUGUGACCCAUUUCUUCCCUUCGCAUUUCUUUCCCUCUUUCUGCCUCCUAUCCCCAUCAUUUGUCUGGCUCAUUUCACCCAUCAGGCCUCAGCUCAACUGGCACUCCUCAGAAAGACUUUCUGUGGCUACUCUCAGGGUCCCCUCUAGUUACCUGUUUAUUUCUCCCACAGUACUUUUAGAGCAAACCCUUCUUAAAAAUAAACUCUAAAAUACAACUGAGGGCUCUUUUUUUCAGAUGCUUCACUAGCAAUUCAUGUUACUCAUCAUCUUGCUUCCAAUGUUCCACCACAUCUGUUCCUGCCUCUUGGAUUUGGGUACAGACACCUUUCCCAGGGCUUGGAAGUGGCUUUCUAAGAUUUACGUUGAUCAACCUAGGGUUAAAACCCUUUCAGGCUGCUGGCACUUCUGCUUGCGCUAGUGUGAGGGCUUAUCUCACCACUGAAGUGCUGGUUCUCCUGCAGUUGCACUUGCUGGGUCCAGUUUCCCUUUUCUGUAAGCCACAGAGGGUGGGGAAAAGAGCUCUGCCUUUUCCUGUUUCUAUUCACUCUUCUUUCCCCUCUACUCCCUCAGUGUGCCACACCCCAGGCUCCUAGCCUUCUCCAACCCAGCCGAAGGAAGCCUCAGAAGACCUUUCUCAUCUCCCAGUAGGCCCUGGACACUCACAAAUACAAUUCUGAAUUAGCAGUCAAAAAUACGCAUAUAAGUUUUGUUUACAUAGAAUCUCAACUCUCUCAAAAUCCCCUGUUUACCUCACAACUGGAUUUUACAUGUAUCAACAAGCACAGCAAAAUGCAAGAUAAUUUUUAUGAAAUGUAAACCUCUCUGUGACUUCUAAGGGGAGAAACGUAGUCUUUUGUUCCCAUCUCAGAUCUGCCAGAGUUGCCUACUUAGUUUGAAUACAAAUUUGAGUUACAAUAAAUUAUCCUGAGCCAUUCCAGGCUAACCACUAUUUCGGUUUCCAGAUCAGUCCCCAUUAAACAUCAAAAUUGCAAGAUAUGUCACCUCAGUGGAGCCACUGCCUUGAUUUGCAAUGUUUAAUCUGGCACCAAUACAGGUUUCUUGACUUCUUAAUAUACUCUUUCUUAUUUUUUCACUAAAAUUAACAAAAAUGAAUUUAGUAUUUUGCUUAAGUAGGAAAUUGAAACAUUCCAAGCGUUACACAUCUUAAAUUAUGUAAGUAUGCAAGUAUUUUUUUUCUGCUUUCUUUCAUACGCAUUACCACCUCUGCAGGAGAAGUAAAAGUGAAACCCAGCCAGGCGAGGUGGCUCACUCCUGUAAUCCCAGCACUUUGGGAGGCUGAGGUGGGCACAUCAUGAGGUCAGGAGAUCGAGACCAUCCUGGCUAACACUUUGAAACCCGGCUCUACUAAAAUUACAAAAAAAUUAACCGGGCAUGGUGGCGGGCGCCUGUAGUCCCAGCUACUCAGGAGGCUGUGGCAGGAGAAUGGCGAGAACCCAGGAGGCGGAGCUUGCAGUGAGCCGAGAUCGUGCCACCGCACUCCAGCCUGGGUGACAGAGACAGACUCCAUCUUUAAAAAAAAAAAAAAAAAAGUGAAACCCAAGAAUCCUCUAGCUGUAGGAAAGGAAUGGCUAGAGCCAAGAGAAAAUUAAACUUGACUAAAAUGUGUCAUAUAAUUUCUUAUAUUUCAUUGGGCUAUCCUUCCCUCCCAUGAGCACUGGAUUUAUUUAGGAGGCUCAUCAUCUUACAAGUUACUUUAAUACAAUUGUUCCAGAAAACGAAAGAAUUAUUAGACUUGUAUUUUGAAAAAUAAGCCUCAAACUCAGCAGUAAGAACCCAAAUACCGCAACAAUUAAAAAACGAGCCAAAGGCCAGAUGCAGUAGCUCAUGCCUGUGAUCCCAGCCUUUAAGAGGGAGGACUGCUUGAGACCUGGAGUUUGAGGUCAGCCUGGGAAACAUAGCGAGACCCCAUCUCUACAAAAAAUAAAAAAUUAGUCUAAUGUGGUAGCACAUGCCUGUAGUCCUAGCUACUCAGGAAGCUUAGGCAGGAGGAUCAUUUGAGCCCAGGAGUUUAAGGCUCCAGUGAACUAUGAUUGUGCCACUUGCACUCUAGCCUGGGUGACAGAGUGAGACCUCACCUCUUAAAAAAUAAAGAACCAAAGACCUUAAAAGACACAUCACCAAAGAAGACAUACAGAUGACAAAUAAGCAUAUGAAAAGAUGCUCCAUAUCAUAUGAGAAAUGCAAGUUAAAACAACAAGAAUCCAGAACACUGACAACAUCAAAUACUGGUGAGGAUGUAGAGCUACAGGAACUCUUACUCAUUGCUGGUAGGAAUGCGAAUUGGUACAGCCACUUUGGAAGAGAGUUUGCCAGUUUCUUAUAAAAUUAAACAUAUUGUUACCAUGUGAUCCGGUAACCACACUCCUUGAUAUUUACUCAAAGAAGCUGAAAACAUGCCUACACAAAAAUCUGCACACAGAUGUUUAUAGCAGCUUUACUCAUAAUUGCCAAAACUUGGGAGCAACCAAGAUACCCCCAGUAGGUGAAUGGAUAAAUAAACUGUGGUACAUCCAGACAAUGGAAUAUGAUUCAGUGCUAAGAGAAUGAGAUAUCAAGCCAUGAAAAGACAUAGAGGAAACUUACAUAAAUAUUACUAAGUAAAAUAAGGCAGUUUGAAAAGGCUACACACUGUAUAAUUUCAACUAUAUGCCAUUCUAGUGAAGGUAAAACUUGAAGACAGAAAAAAAAAAAAUAAUCAGUGCUUGCCAGAGAUAAGUGGGAGGAAGGGAUAGAUAGGUAGAGCACAGAGGAUUUUUAGGGUUCCUGUUGCUCUACUCUGUAUGAUACUAUAGUGAUAGACAUAUAUCAUUAUGCAUUUGUCCAUUUGUAUAAUGGGUGAACCGUCAUGUAAACUGUGGAUUCUAGUGAUAAUGAUGUGUACAUGUAGGUUCAUCAUUUGUGACAAAUGUACCACUCUAGUGGGGAUGUUGAUAAUGGAAGAGUCUAUGUAUGUGUGGGGGCGGAAGAUAUAUGGAAAAUAUAUCAUCUAUUCAAUUUUUCUAUGAACCUAAAACUAUUCUAAAAUAUAAAGUCUAUUUUUUAAAAUAUGCUUCUGUGUUUUAGAAACAAGGACUGUAGAAUUAUUAAUGUUUUCCAAGAUGAAAAUCACUGUAAUCACUUAUCAAUGAAAGGAAAAUGUUACAUAUUAUCAAUUGGAUUCUAAUAAACAGAAUAUAAUUUAUUUGAAGAAGCACAGAAUUGAUUUAUCUCCAGAGAUGAGUUUAGCUUUCAGAUCAUCAGAGAUACAGAUUACCAACAAUUAAAUACUAUGCUAUAGCAUGGUAGUUUCCAAGCUUCUAAAGUAUAAAAACAUAUUUUCAAUAUCAAAAAUAUUUUCAGAAUGUCACUUCAUAAGUACCAUGUAUUAAUCAUUUAAUAAGAAAAAUGGCACCUAAGAGUAGACUAUGAGGCCAUAUGGAAUGAGAUCUUUGCCCAGCAGAGAUGACAGGUACUAACUCUACCAAUCAGAUUCUCCUUAUUGCAAGUUUGAAAUGGAGACACAGAAAGUCAUGAACCAGCAGGGAGCCUGAGGGAGCAAAACCCUUGAGUAACCAAGAAGCCUCUCGAAUGAACAGGAGACCAGUUGAGUGUUACUUACCUCCCUCCAACCACAUUUCAUCUGGUUCAUCUUUUUUAUUUAUUUUUGCUUUUCCAGACAAAUAAGAAGGGGCUGGGCAGAGGGAAGUAGAAGUAAGUUAAUUAAUUUAUAGCUUUGGAAGGGGCAGCAGCAGGGCCAGGAAGGAGUUGAGUCAUGUUAAUGGCUCAGCAGAAUAGGGACUGCCGGGGUGAACAGAUAACCUAGAGCUGCCUUGAGCCUGUCUGGAAUGAUCUUGCCAGUCCAGAAGGAGUCUGUUCUCCAGGAAGCUCAGGCACAAUUAGGUUCCUAUUUUCCUGCUCAGAGAUGAAGGAGUUCCUGUUCUUGAUACCUCAUCACCUGACUGAGACCCCCCCAUCUUCCUUAAUUCCCCCAUUUCCUUGUAAUAAAUACUUCAGAAUUGAGGUAACUUGAGUUUAUCAUUGUUCUUUAUAACUAAAAAUUAUAGCUAGCACAGAAAUUAAAUUUAUUUUGUCAUAAUGAAUAUUUGUCAACCUUGAAGACAAACAAAAAUAUACUUAGCAUUGUGCAUUAUUUUUCUUGCUCCUCCUACUUUUUAUAUUUUUAAAAGGAAAGCAGAAGGCAGUCUUUUAGGUGAUAAGCAAUUGUAAAAUAAAGAAAACCUACCUUCUGUUUUAAUCACUGGUACAGUAAAUGUAUUCUUUCUCAAUGGGAUAUAGUUACCUAUAAAUGAGGCUCUUUUAGGAGUUUAGAAUACUUUCCCUUAAAGUUCCAAAUGUUUGUAGUGUAAAUAACCAGUUUCACUGAUGUUUAGAAGGGAAGGUAGAGGCCGGGUGCGGUGGCUCUCGCCUGUAAUCCCAGCACUUUGGGAGGCCGAGGCAGGCGGAUCACGAGGUCAGGAGAUCGAGACCAUCCUGGCUAACAUGGUGAAACCCUGUCUCUACUAAAAAUACAAAAAAUUAGUCAGACGUGGUGGCGGGCACCUGUAGUCCCAGCUACUUGGGAGGUUGAGGCAGGAGAAUGGCGUGAACCUGGGAGAUGGAGGUUGCAGUGAGCCGAGGUCACGCCACUGUACUCCAGCCUGGGCGAUAAAGCGAGACUCUGUCUCAAAAAAAAAAAAAAAAAAAGAAGGGAAGGUAGAGAGGAAUGUUAUGAUUCACAAGCAUCAUGAAUGGUUCUCUUCAAAACUUCAUUUGGAUAAAAAUUUGGCCUAAUUUUCCCUCACUAAACCCUCUAGAAAUAAUUUUUUUGGCCAGGUGCGGUGGCUCACGCCUGUAAUCCCAGCAUUUUGAGGCCAAAGUGGGCGGAUCAACUGAGGUCAGGAGUUGGAGACCAGCCUGGCCAACAUGGCAAAACACCAUCUCUACUAAAAAUACAAAGCUUAGCAGGCAUGGUGGCACACACCUAUAAUCCCAGUUACUCGGGAGGCUGAGGCAGGAGAAUCACUUGAACCCGGGAGGUGGAGGUUGCUGUGAGCUGAGAUCGUGCCACUGCACUCCAGCCUGGGAGACUCCAUCUCAAAAAAAAAAAUUUUUUUUUAAGUUAACAAGCACACAAAAAAAGUGGAAAAAAGGGAAAGAGACAAGAGCACCCGAAAUGUUGAGGCCAGAAAGCAGAUGGAGGGUUGUAGCCAACUUGGAGACCUCAAAAAGCCAAAUCCUAAUCUGGUGAUGGUGAAAGCCAAGAAGCAGCCUGAUUUGUAACCACAGAAUCCUCAAAGGUCCAUGACAUGAUAGCACCAAGCACCUCUGGAAAUGGUGGUGAAGUGGGGCCCCAAAUCAGGAGGUCCAGAUGAAGGCUGCUUGAGAAGCCAGUAGCUUCCCAGGUCUCCCCCAUCUCCUCUGUGCUGCUGAGCAACUUGUCGCUUCUGCACCUGGGCUGGAGUGUGGAAGCAACUUGUCCCUUCCCACCUGGGCUGAGGUGAAGUGUAUUCUUUGGAGAGGGCAAAAUAAAUGGAUUCUGGACUGGUGGAUACCGAACAUAGUUGAGGAUUAAAAUCUUAUACCAAAAACAGGAUUUAAGGGAACAUGUGGAUACUGGAUGCUGAGACAGCUUUCCCUCUUUCUCUACUUGGCUUCUAAAAUAUUCCUAGCCAGGACUUUCAGAUCAGGAGAGUCUUCUAUGCUAUACAAUUUCUGACCAAAGCAAGGUGAGAAUCAUAAAGUGGCCCAUUCAUACCAUCUUAAGGUAAAAUUCAACUAUUUAAUCAAGCACUCAUAAGCAUGAGUCAAUAACAAAUAACAGGAAAAACUCAGUAGUAGCGUUAGUCAGGACCAUUACUCAAAAAGUAGGACCAAAAAAAAAAUACAUUAAACAUAAGAAUGAAAAACAUUUUUUUAAAUUAGAGCACCAAUCCAGGAGAAAGAAUAUUCAAACAACUGGAGUUGCAGGGUAGAAAAAAAAACGGGGAAAGAGGAAGAAUGCAAGUUAUCAAUGAAAUAAUUGAAGAAAUAAUUUAAGAAAUUUUUUCAAAACAGAAAAACAUGAUUUUCCAGAAUGGAAGGACCCAUAGGUCUCUGAUAUUGUGAUGUGUGGUAAUAAGAAAUGUAUAUUCUGUCUUCACCCCCUAGUUCCUGGCACAGAGCUUCUAAAACCCUUGGAAUUUCCUCAGUGAUAGGGGUGAAAGAUUUUUUUUCAUAAUUUCAUUUGUAAUAAGUUCCUUUCAACCACACCUGAGUUUAUGUUAAGUCGGUACCUCUGGGAGGAUGGGGCUGGUGGUCAAAGGAACCAACAACCAUGUGGCUAGAGGGUCAGAACUUUCAGCCCCACUUCCAGGGAGGGAAAAGGGGCUGGAGAUUGAGUCAAUCAGCAAUGGCCAACGAACACAUGGAGGUGCUGGAAGGGUGAUAUGCCCAGAGAGGGCAUGAAAGCCCUACACCCCUUCGCACAUAUCUUCCCUAUACGUCUCUUCCAUUUGGCUUUUCCUGACAGGAACUUACCAAAAAAAUUCUAGAGACAAUGAAGCAGCCUUCAAAAUUCUGAACGAAAGUUAAUUCCAAUCUAGGAUUCUAUGCCCAUCCAAACUAUCAGCGAAACAUAAGGGUCAAAUAAAGACGUUUUCAGAUAUGUACAGUUACAAAAAUUGACCUCCUGGAUAUUUUUUCUCAGGAAACUUUUGGGCAAUGUAUUCUAUAAACAUGAGUAGACCAAGAGAGUAGAAGUCACUGGGUGCUGAAAAUAAAUAGGAAAUCUCAAGCGGAUUUAACACAGGAUGCUAAAGGAAUUUCCAAGAGAAUGAGAGAGGGAGACACCAGAUGACACCUAUGCACCUAGCAAAGAAGGGAACACAUCCAGAAAAAAUACUUGUCCAGGUGUGUGGCUCACACCUGUAUUCCCAGCACUUUGUGAGUCUGAAGUGGGAGGAUGGUUUGAGGCUAGGAGUUCAAGACCAGGCCGGGCAACACAGUGAGACCCCAUCUCUAUAAAAAAUUUUUAAAAAUUAGCCAGACAUGGUGGUGCACGCCUGUAGUCCUAGGUAUUUGGGCGUCUGAGCAGGGAGGAUCACUUGAGCCCAGGAGUUCAAGGACGUAAUGAGCUAUAAUCACGCCACUGUACUCUAGCCUGGGCAACAGAGUAAGACCAUGUAUCCAAAGGAAAAAAAUGAACUGGAGGGAGGCUAAAGCAGAGGCCACUUCCUAAAAUUGUUCCCCUUUUAUAAUAGGUCUAUGAUUCUGUCCUACUUUCAAGCUAGUAAGUUAGCUUGCUUUAGUUUCAUGGAUGCUAGCAGAAAACGUAAGACCCCAGAUUCAAAGACAAAGGAUUUUAUUACUUGUGGCACAUCAAGCAUCAAGAGCAUCAGCAUUAUUUGCAUUAGUUUCUCUCAUUCCCAUGCCUCAUGGGGCAACACAGAUGGCUCCAGAUGGAAGCCUGCACACACAAUAAGGUGCAUUACAGAAGAGAAUCAUUGAGCUUAGGGAGCCCCUGUUUCUUAUAUGGGCAGUAAGCAUCCUCGUGCUUUGCUCUCAAGGGUGAUGCUAUCUUCCAAUGCUGUUUGCUAUGCAAAGUUCCUUUAAAAACGUAGUCCAGAGCAAAGGGUGAUCAGUCUGCUUGAAAGUUGUGCAGGAAUGUGAAAGACCUAUUGAGAAUUCUCUCCCCAACCUACGUACUCAAAUGACCUUGUACAUUUCUUUCACUGUACUUAUCACAAUUGCAAUUGCAUAGUUAUUUGAGCGAUUGUUUACUAUUUGUUUCUCCUCUAAAUCAUAAGCUCUAUGAAGGUAGGGACCAUGUCUGUUUUGUUCAUUGCUACAUCUCCAAUGACUGGCAGAGUGCAGAUAUAUAGUAGAAGCACAAUAAAUGUUUUUUGAAGAACUACUCAUGGAUCACCAAACUUGAGUACACUAGAUAUACAAAUGAAAGAUGAGCAACAGGCUACAGAUGUCACGAGGCAUAAUGUACUUUAAUGGUAUUCCUUUUUUUUUUUUUUUUUUUUUUUUGAGACAGAGUCUCGCUCUGUCGCCCAGGCUGGAGUGCAGUGGGGCGAUCUCUGCUCACUGCAAGCUCCGCCUCCCGGAUUCACUCCAUUCUCCUGCCUCAGCCUCUCCGAGUAGCUGAAACUACAGGCGCCCGCAACCACUCCUUGAUAUUUCUUUACAUUUAUCUGGCACUUAUUUUACAAAGCACUUUUCAUGCAUUAUUUCAUGGAAGCUUCACAAUAAAACUCUGAAUUGGAUGAAGAGGUUAAGAGACUUGUCCAAGAUCACUGGACUUUUUACGUGUGAAAAAAACAAAGAAAGAAAGAAAAAAAACAGGCCUGAAAUCUGGCCAUUUUAAGCCCCAAUACUUUGUCCUCUAUUUUUUUAGUGAUAGUGUCUCUGUCACCCAGGCUGGAGUGCAGUGGCACAAUCAUAGCUCACUGUAACCUCAAAUUCCUGGCUCAAGCAAUUCUUUCAAAUAACUAGGACUACAAGCACAUGCUACCAUGUGUGGCUAAUUAUUUUUAAUUUUUUUAGAGACAAAGUCUCACUAUGUUGCCCAGGCUGGUCUCAAAUUCCUGUCCUCAAGCAAUCCUCCAACCUCAGUCUCCCAAAGCACUGGGAUAAAGACACAAGUCUCUGUACUUGUCCUUUGUUCUUCUAUUUCAUAAGACAUUAUUACCUAUGACAAUUACAAAGUAGAAUAAUGUCAAAAGCAGAACUAGGGGAAAUAUUUUCAAUGCUUACUUUAAAUGAAAGUUUAAACAUCUGUGAAAAUAUUUCAUUUAUUUAUUACAGUUAUCACAGUGAAGAUGAAAGAGUAGAAUUCAGUUUUCAUCAUUCUAUGAAUUAAAAAUAGCAAUGCUUUAUGUAUUUAUAAAGCAUAAAAUAUACAUCACUUUAUUCUCGCAAAAUGCAAUGAGCUAGAUAUUACACAUCUUUCACUUAACAGAUGAUGAAAUUGAGGCUCAGAAUGCUUUAGCUAGUAGGCAGAAAUCACACAGCUAAUUCUCCCAUGAGUUAAAAUAUAGAUAUGUGAGGCUGAAAGUAUGAUGCCUUCUCAUAAAAGGAAAUUACUUUCCCAAGAGGCAGAUGUUCCUUUCUUCAAUAUCUCCCAAAACCCAAACAUAAUAGAAUACACUCAGUGUAUUCUAAUAUGUUCUACUAUUCAUUAAUCUCUUAUUUUGUCUUACUAUGAUAAAUAUUGUGAAAUUAAGAAACCGUUUUCUAAAAUAAGCCACUCAUCUAAGAAGUGAUUGAAAGCCGUUACAUGUACACUUAUCUUUAGAAUUAGAUUUUCUCUGGAAGUAUUAAGAAUUUGAUUAAAAAUAAAUAUUACUAGUUUAACAUUGUAAUGUGCCUCCAACUCAUACUUCAGUCAUCAGAUAGUCACUGUAGCAAAUUAAGAAAUACAUAAUACAAGUAUAAUUUUAAAGUUUCCAUUUCUUCCUUCUAUUCCUUGUUUCAAUAUGUUUCACUUCUAAUUUCAUAUAUAUAAAUGAAACAUUUCUCAUUUGUGCCAUUUAUUUUGCACUUAUAAAUUGCUUUGUAGGGUUAUCUUUUUACACAUUGAUUUCUAGCCUUUCACAACCAGAAUGUAAGCUACUUUAGGAGAUGGAUCAUGUCCUAUAGUUUAAGACUUUCUCUCCUGUCUGGGCCCAGUAGAUCAUUGUAAUCCCAGCAAUUUGGGAGGCCAAGGUGGGAGGAUCACUUGAGGCUGGAAGUUCAAGGCCAGCUUGGGCCCCAUAGUGAGGCCUCAUCUCUACAAAAAUUUUAAAAAUUAGCUGGACAUGAUGGUACCUUCCUGUAGUACUAGCUACUAAGGAGACUGAGGUGAGAGGAUCACUUGAGCCUAGGAACCCAGAAGUUUGAGGUUGCAGUGAGCUAUGAUUAUGCCACUACACUACAGUCUGGGUGACAGAGCAAGGCCCUGUCUCUAGAAACCACAAUCACAACAACAAAAACAACUUCCUCCACUCCACCUCUCUGCUUUGCACCUUGUCAAGCUCAAUUCAGGUGAGUUCCUGGCUUUGCUCUCUUUAUUCCUCUCCCCGUUUAAAGUCACCUGAAAAAUUAGCCAUACUCUGUUCCCAGGGUUAACCUAACUAAAGCAAGAGUAGAUUACCACCCUUCAAAAUCAGCAUUUUGGACCUUAUCCUCAAAGACAGGCCAGCCCUGAUGACCUGGCACCAAGGUUAACAACUGGCCUCCCACCUCCAGUCUGGAGCCCAACGUGGCCUCACGUGUAUGACAUGCCUUCUGUUCCAUUGCUGUUCCCAUAUUGCUAAUCUGGGAAUUUUUCAUGAUGUUUUAGUCAUUCCCAGGAAAGAGGGAAAAGGCAAACAAAGUUGAGACUUGCUUUCUCCCCCAGGAAGAUCUGGAAUGUAAAUUACACCUCAGAGUUUUCCUGACCCGAAGCAAGGGAGCUGGGUCUUUUUACUCCAUCAUCUGGCAGUCAUUGGUUAAGAGCUGCGCCAGGUGACCUAAAAUCCCAGCUCUGUGCUUACUGGCAAAGCAGCCCCAGACGCACAAGAGCAGUCCUCCGAAGAAUAAAUACAGGUACUGUGAAGCAGAGGGAAAAAAGCACUGAAGCACAGAAAUAGUGAAAGUGAUCCCAGCAGAUCUGGUCAAAGCACUUAUGGUGUCUGCUGCAGCUCUAUCCAUCAGAAGAAGACCACAAAAACCUGGGCCCCCACAACACAGCCUGGGACAACUGCUGGGGAUGGCCAGAGCCUACUGCAAUAGAAGCAGCUAAUCCCACAAGGAGAAGAUGAGGUGAUAUGAGCACAGAGCCCUGUGUCCCAGGAGAGGAGCAUCAGGACAGAUUUUAGAGCUGUAACAAUGGGAGAGGUCUGAUGAAAGAAAACUCAGAGAUGAUAAAGGCCAAUGUCAAAGGACAGAAAAGGACAGCAGUGUGAGCAAUUUUGAAUGCAAAUGAAUCACUGUGGCAUCCCCAAACAGCCAAAAGGAAGGCAUUUGUGUGGGUGCUCCUGCAAUUCCUUGGGCUUGACCUGAGUUAGAGAAAUAUAAUUGUAUUGGAGGUUGGUGUGGCUUGGGGAAAGAUAAACCACAAACUUCAUUUUCUGCUACACUGCUAUUCUGCUAUUACUGAGUCCAAAUAAAAGUUAAAAGUAUUGUCAGACAUUAAAGGUAAAAAAAGUAAAGAUACUGGAUCUGUCUUUUCACUCCCUACCAGCAAAUCUAUGCAUUGUGUUGCUUCAUCUUUCCAGGUCAAGAGUCUGACUUAUCUUUUCAUUUAUGCCCCACAAUUUACACUGCCAUAUAGGGAGAUUUUUAAAAAGACAGUAAUUAGUCUAAAGAUCUCUAUCCAUGUUGUUUACAAAAAUAUGCAAAAAAAUUCCUUUCUUUCUUUCUUUCUCUUUCUUUCUUUCUUUCUUUCUUUCCUUCCU
Molecule: long non-coding RNA, 16222 nt
Organism: Pan troglodytes (chimpanzee)
Lineage: Eukaryota; Metazoa; Chordata; Mammalia; Primates; Hominidae
Exons: 4
Source: RefSeq, a predicted model, not a curated record